GGGUUGUGAGGUUAAGCGACUAAGCGUACACGGUGGAUGCCCUGGCAGUCAGAGGCGAUGAAGGNNUCGUCACACUAUCAUUAACUGAAUCCAUAGGUUAAUGAGGCGAACCGGGGGAACUGAAACAUCUAAGUACCCCGAGGAAAAGAAAUCAACCGAGAUUCCCCCAGUAGCGGCGAGCGAACGGGGAGGAGCCCAGAGCCUGAAUCAGCAUGUGUGUUAGUGGAAGCGUCUGGAAAGGCGCGCGAUACAGGGUGACAGCCCCGUACACAAAAGCGCAUGUGCUGUGAGCUCGAUGAGUAGGGCGGGACACGUGGUAUCCUGUCUGAAUAUGGGGGGACCAUCCUCCAAGGCUAAAUACUCCUGACUGACCGAUAGUGAACCAGUACCGUGAGGGAAAGGCGAAAAGAACCCCGGCGAGGGGAGUGAAAAAGAACCUGAAACCGUGUACGUACAAGCAGUGGGAGCNNGUGACUGCGUACCUUUUGUAUAAUGGGUCAGCGACUUAUAUUCUGUAGCAAGGUUAACCGAAUAGGGGAGCCGGAGGGAAACCGAGUCUUAAUUGGGCGUUAAGUUGCAGGGUAUAGACCCGAAACCCGGUGAUCUAGCCAUGGGCAGGUUGAAGGUUGGGUAACACUAACUGGAGGACCGAACCGACUAAUGUUGAAAAAUUAGCGGAUGACCUGUGGCUGGGGGUGAAAGGCCAAUCAAACCGGGAGAUAGCUGGUUCUCCCCGAAAGCUAUUUAGGUAGCGCCUCGUGAAUUCAUCUCCGGGGGUAGAGCACUGUUUCGGCUAGGGGGCCAUCCCGGCUUACCAACCCGAUGCAAACUGCGAAUACCGGAGAAUGUUAUCACGGGAGACACACGGCGGGUGCUAACGUCCGUCGUGAAGAGGGAAACAACCCAGACCGCCAGCUAAGGUCCCAAAGUCAUGGUUAAGUGGGAAACGAUGUGGGAAGGCCCAGACAGCCAGGAUGUUGGCUUAGAAGCAGCCAUCAUUUAAAGAAAGCGUAAUAGCUCACUGGUCGAGUCGGCCUGCGCGGAAGAUGUAACGGGGCUAAACCAUGCACCGAAGCUGCGGCAGCGANNGUUGGGUAGGGGAGCGUUCUGUAAGCCUGCGAAGGUGGCCUGUGAGGGUUGCUGGAGGUAUCAGAAGUGCGAAUGCUGACAUAAGUAACGAUAAAGCGGGUGAAAAGCCCGCUCGCCGGAAGACCAAGGGUUCCUGUCCAACGUUAAUCGGGGCAGGGUGAGUCGACCCCUAAGGCGAGGCCGAAAGGCGUAGUCGAUGGGAAACGGGUUAAUAUUCCCGUACUUGGUGUUACUGCGAAGGGGGGACGGAGAAGGCUAUGUUGGCCGGGCGACGGUUGUCCCGGUUUAAGCGUGUAGGUGUGUGUUCCAGGUAAAUCCGGUUCACUUUAACACUGAGGCGUGAUGACGAGGCACUACGGUGCUGAAGCAACAAAUGCCCUGCUUCCAGGAAAAGCCUCUAAGCAUCAGGUAACAUCAAAUCGUACCCCAAACCGACACAGGUGGUCAGGUAGAGAAUACCAAGGCGCUUGAGAGAACUCGGGUGAAGGAACUAGGCAAAAUGGUGCCGUAACUUCGGGAGAAGGCACGCUGACACGUAGGUGAAGUGAUUUACUCAUGGAGCUGAAGUCAGUCGAAGAUACCAGCUGGCUGCAACUGUUUAUUAAAAACACAGCACUGUGCAAACACGAAAGUGGACGUAUACGGUGUGACGCCUGCCCGGUGCCGGAAGGUUAAUUGAUGGGGUCAGCGCAAGCGAAGCUCCUGAUCGAAGCCCCGGUAAACGGCGGCCGUAACUAUAACGGUCCUAAGGUAGCGAAAUUCCUUGUCGGGUAAGUUCCGACCUGCACGAAUGGCGUAAUGAUGGCCAGGCUGUCUCCACCCGAGACUCAGUGAAAUUGAACUCGCUGUGAAGAUGCAGUGUACCCGCGGCAAGACGGAAAGACCCCGUGAACCUUUACUAUAGCUUGACACUGAACAUUGAGCCUUGAUGUGUAGGAUAGGUGGGAGGCUUUGAAGCGUGGACGCCAGUCUGCGUGGAGCCGACCUUGAAAUACCACCCUUUAAUGUUUGAUGUUCUAACGUGGACCCGUAAUCCGGGUUGCGGACAGUGUCUGGUGGGUAGUUUGACUGGGGCGGUCUCCUCCUAAAGAGUAACGGAGGAGCACGAAGGUUGGCUAAUCCUGGUCGGACAUCAGGAGGUUAGUGCAAUGGCAUAAGCCAGCUUGACUGCGAGCGUGACGGCGCGAGCAGGUGCGAAAGCAGGUCAUAGUGAUCCGGUGGUUCUGAAUGGAAGGGCCAUCGCUCAACGGAUAAAAGGUACUCCGGGGAUAACAGGCUGAUACCGCCCAAGAGUUCAUAUCGACGGCGGUGUUUGGCACCUCGAUGUCGGCUCAUCACAUCCUGGGGCUGAAGUAGGUCCCAAGGGUAUGGCUGUUCGCCAUUUAAAGUGGUACGCGAGCUGGGUUUAGAACGUCGUGAGACAGUUCGGUCCCUAUCUGCCGUGGGCGCUGGAGAACUGAGGGGGGCUGCUCCUAGUACGAGAGGACCGGAGUGGACGCAUCACUGGUGUUCGGGUUGUCAUGCCAAUGGCACUGCCCGGUAGCUAAAUGCGGAAGAGAUAAGUGCUGAAAGCAUCUAAGCACGAAACUUGCCCCGAGAUGAGUUCUCCCUGAGACUUAGAGUCUCCUGAAGGAACGUUGAAGACGACGACGUUGAUAGGCCGGG
RNAcentral lists this ribosomal RNA (2754 nucleotides) under Salmonella enterica subsp. enterica serovar Infantis str. CVM N32760. RNAcentral's name for it is "bacterial LSU rRNA". It matches the Rfam family "Bacterial large subunit ribosomal RNA". The record is from RNAcentral. Lineage: Bacteria; Pseudomonadati; Pseudomonadota; Gammaproteobacteria; Enterobacterales; Enterobacteriaceae.